AUCUUUUUGUACUGGACUGAUUAUUGGAACUUCACUGUUUUUGAGGGAUGAAGUUUAACCCAGAGAUUUCCAGAGAUUUGAAUUUUCCAAGAAGUAGAUGCCUGUCUGAAAGAAAUAAACGUAUUUCUGGAAGAAAUAGCAUAUAUAAUUUUGAACAUGAAUAUCACAAGGUGGAGCGUGGUAAACCAGAAAAACCUGUGAAACUUGGACCAACACUCCAAAUGAUUGUAGCUUCCUCAAUAAACGGGUCAUGAGCACUCCAGGGACAAUCCUGCAGGAGAGGGUGGCACAGAGAAGACUGCAACUCCAUUGUGCAAUGGAAUUACCACUAUAGAAGAAGACAAUUCCCAUCCUGAAGAGUGAAAAUGAAUACAAAAAAACAUUUGAAUGAAAGGAAACCAUAGGACUUUGGAUUGAACUAACCCACUUGUCCAUCUGGAGAUAAAGAUAAAUUGAACUCAUCUACAUUCUGCAAACAAAAAGCUAAUAAAAUAUUUUGACAUUUAAGACUAAUUUCUACCCCACCCCUGAGCCCCUGUCAGGUGAAAAUUGAACUCUCUCCAGGCUGCAGAUCUUCUGUCAUUUGAAAAAAGCAACAACAUUUUGUUUCCCACUUCUCUCCUACAUGCCUAUUUAAAUAAUGCAUAAUGUAAUGUCUGACUUUUCCUGUCUGCCUGAGAACUUGCUG
Molecule: long non-coding RNA, 688 nt
Organism: Gallus gallus (chicken)
Lineage: Eukaryota; Metazoa; Chordata; Aves; Galliformes; Phasianidae
Source: Ensembl